CAGCAGCCGCGGGAAUACGUAGGUGGCAAGCGUUGUCCGGAAUUAUUGGGCGUAAAGGGCUCGCAGGCGGUUUCUUAAGUCUGAUGUGAAAGCCCCCGGCUCAACCGGGGAGGGUCAUUGGAAACUGGGAAACUUGAGUGCAGAAGAGGAAAGUGGAAUUCCAUGUGUAGCGGUGAAAUGCGCAGAGAUAUGGAGGAACACCAGUGGCGAAGGCGACUUUCUGGUCUGUAACUGACGCUGAUGUGCGAAAGCGUGGGGAUCAAACAGGAUUAGAUACCCCAGUAGUCCCUGUCUCUUAUAC
RNAcentral lists this ribosomal RNA (301 nucleotides) under uncultured bacterium. RNAcentral's name for it is "partial 16S ribosomal RNA". It matches the Rfam family "Bacterial small subunit ribosomal RNA", at positions 509 to 807 of the family's 1533-position model. The record is from RNAcentral.